RNAcentral lists this ribosomal RNA (714 nucleotides) under Triticum aestivum (bread wheat). Its description in RNAcentral is "partial small subunit ribosomal RNA". The record is from RNAcentral. Lineage: Eukaryota; Viridiplantae; Streptophyta; Magnoliopsida; Poales; Poaceae.
AUGCUGAAAGUGGCUAGUGACUUCUAUAAAGACCUGUUUAAGAAAGAAAACCCUUCUGGGUUCUCUCUACAAAACAAUUUUUUCUCUGCUUCUGAAAAAGUCUCUCUUGCUGAAAAUGAGCUGCUAGAAGCCCCUUUUUCAGAGACAGAGGUGAAGGAAGCCAUUUUUAGCUCUUAUCCUGAUGGGGCUCCUGGUCCUGAUGGGAUUCCCUUCUUGUUUUACCAGCAUUUUUGGGACUUGGUGAAAAAUGAUCUCUUAGAUCUUUUUAAGCCUUUCAUAGAGGAGAGUUGGAUCCAGCAACUUACUCAUGGGGGGUCUGUUGGGGUCAAGUUAAAUAACUGUGAAAGUGAUUUUUUCCUUUCUGGUAAAGGCCUUAGGUAAGGUGACCCCAUCUCCCCACUUUUGUUUAAUUUAGUAGUGGACAUUCUUACUAAAAUGCUGAGCAAAGCUACUGAUCACAGUCUGAUUGCAGGGCUCUGUCCUGAGGUCUGCCCUGGUGGCAUCAUCUGCCUUCAAUAUGUAGAUGAUACCAUCCUUUUCUUAGACAAUGACUCCGCACAUGCUAGCAAUAUGAAAACUAUUCUAACCUGGUUUGAACAAGUCUCAGGCAUGAGAAUCAACUACUCUAAAAGUGAACUCGUCCCUAUCAACAUGGAUGAUCAGGAGUUAGAUGACUUCCUCUCUAUUCUAGUCUGUAAUUGUUGGGGAACGUAG